This 494-nucleotide ribosomal RNA is filed under the name uncultured bacterium. RNAcentral describes it as "bacterial SSU rRNA". It matches the Rfam family "Bacterial small subunit ribosomal RNA", at positions 29 to 512 of the family's 1533-position model. The record is from RNAcentral.
AGUGAACGCUGGCGGCAGGCCUAAUACAUGCAAGUCGAACGGCAGCACAGCAGAGCUUGCUCUGUGGGUGGCGAGUGGCGGACGGGUGAGGAAUACAUGGGAAUCUGCCCAGUCGUGGGGGAUAACGUAUGGAAACGUACGCUAAUACCGCAUGCGCCCUACGGGGGAAAGUCGGGGACCGCAAGGCCUGACGCGAUUGGAUGAGCCCAUGUUCGAUUAGCUAGUUGGCGGGGUAAAGGCCCACCAAGGCGACGAUCGAUAGCUGGUCUGAGAGGAUGAUCAGCCACACUGGAACUGAGACACGGUCCAGACUCCUACGGGAGGCAGCAGUAGGGAAUAUUGGACAAUGGGGGCAACCCUGAUCCAGCCAUGCCGCGUGAGUGAAGAAGGCCCUCGGGUUGUAAAGCUCUUUUGUCCGGAAAGAAAGCAAUCGGUUAAUACCCGGUUGUUCUGACGGUACCGGAAGAAUAAGCACCGGCUAACUACGUGCCAGC